RNAcentral lists this long non-coding RNA (658 nucleotides) under Equus asinus (donkey). Its description in RNAcentral is "lncRNA (ENSEASG00005026591.1)". The record is from RNAcentral. Lineage: Eukaryota; Metazoa; Chordata; Mammalia; Perissodactyla; Equidae.
CGCAGUGCUGCUGUCCCUGGUGCUGAUAUUUUCAUAGGCACACACCGUGGACCAUGGCAGAAUUUCCAGGAACGCUAGAUGUAUUUGUACUAUUUUUAUGUCUACUGAUUGAAAACUGAACAAAGGAAGCUCACCAUCCAACACCUUGGGGCUCACAUUGAACAAAGACAACACAGCAGCAGCAGCACUGGGAGCUUGUUAGAAAGGCAGGCUCUCAGACCCCACAUCAGACCUCCUGAGUCAGAAUCUACAGUUUAACAAGAUCUCCCAGUGAUCUAAUGGCCAUUAAAGUCUGAGAGCCACCAUGGAAAUCACUACCGCCUAGUUAGCCAUACAGGGCAGUCAAAUGAGCUGUUCACCAUUUGAAGAGGCCAUCACAAUGCUCAGAAGAUGAUCAAAGAAGCUACUUAAGAAUAACAUGCUGCCUUUUUAAAAAACCAAUGCCCACGCUGAACUCAGAAUGGUAAUGAGCUCAGGCAGGAGCCCAACUGAGACCUCCACGGCCAUCCCACCCAGCUGGGAUAUUUGCAUUUUAUACAAACCAUUUUAUGAUGCUAUAAAUUUCACAUUUUUAUAGUUACAGGUCUUAAUCAUCAUGAAUACCAUUUCUGCACGUAUCUUUGGUAAACGGAAUUAAAAUCUCCUCAUGAUCUGAAAA